Ziziphus jujuba (common jujube) is the source of this 527-nucleotide long non-coding RNA. RefSeq lists it as uncharacterized. The transcript has 2 exons. The record is from RefSeq and is a predicted model, not a curated record. NCBI's taxonomy places the organism in Eukaryota, Viridiplantae, Streptophyta, Magnoliopsida, Rosales, Rhamnaceae.
UUGUAGUUCGGGCGUUGACUGCACAAGUGAUCCAUAUAACAUAUAAAUUGGGCCUGAUUUAAAAAGAACUAAAGUGGGUCUGGUUAUGGGUCUUUCCAACCAUGGGCCAUGGGCUAUGGGCCAACGUUCGGCCGAUUGUAGAAUCGCCAUAUAUAAACACAGAGAAAGCUGAUCCCUUAACGGGGAGCCAGGCCGCUAGGGUUUGUGUGGUUUUGUCUUCGAAGAACUUUGAAGCGGGGAAAGCUCCAUCUCCGACGCCGCAACCAUAGGUCGUAUGCACAGUCGCGGUAAGGGUAUCUCUGCCUCUGCUCUGCCUUAUAAGGGAACUCCACCUAGUUGGCUUAAGAUUUCUUCUCAAAAUGUAAGGCAAUUGAAGACACACCUCACUUUCUAGUGUACUUUUUUACACUAGAAUAAUUAUUUUAUUUUUAAUUCUACUUUUUAUCAUAGAGCAGUGACUGUUUAUUAUUUAAUUUUUAUUUAGCGUUGGUCUUUAGAUUAUUUAUUAUUUAACUUUAUCAAUUUAA